Molecule: ribosomal RNA, 497 nt
Filed under: uncultured bacterium
Lineage: Bacteria
Description: partial 16S ribosomal RNA
Rfam family: Bacterial small subunit ribosomal RNA
Source: RNAcentral
GAUGAACGCUGGCGGCGUGCCUAAUACAUGCCAGUCGAGCGAACAGACGAGGAGCUUGCUCCUCUGACGUUAGCGGCGGACGGGUGAGUAACACGUGGAUAACCUACCUAUAAGACUGGGAUAACUUCGGGAAACCGGAGCUAAUACCGGAUAAUAUAUUGAACCGCAUGGUUCAAUAGUGAAAGACGGUUUUGCUGUCACUUAUAGAUGGAUCCGCGCCGCAUUAGCUAGUUGGUAAGGUAACGGCUUACCAAGGCGACGAUGCGUAGCCGACCUGAGAGGGUGAUCGGCCACACUGGAACUGAGGCACGGUCCAGACUCCUACGGGAGGCAGCAGUAGGGAAUCUUCCGCAAUGGGCGAAAGCUUGACGGAGCAACGCCGCGUGAGUGAUGAAGGUCUUCGGAUCGUAAAACUCUGUUAUUAGGGAAGAACAAAUGUGUAAGUAACUAUGCACGUCUUGACGGUACCUAAUCAGAAAGCCACGGCUAACUACGUG